GACAGAGGGUGCAAACGUUAUUCGGAAUUACUGGGCUUAAAGGGUGCGUAGGCGGCGCAGAAAGUAGGGUGUGAAAUCCCUCGGCUCAACCGAGGAACUGCGCCCUAAACUACUGUGCUCGAGGGAGGUAGAGGUGAGCGGAACUUAGGGUGGAGCGGUGAAAUGCGUUGAUAUCCUAAGGAACACCGGUGGCGAAAGCGGCUCACUGGACCUCUUCUGACGCUGAGGCACGAAAGCUAGGGUAGCGAACGGG
Molecule: ribosomal RNA, 253 nt
Filed under: uncultured bacterium
Lineage: Bacteria
Description: partial 16S ribosomal RNA
Rfam family: Bacterial small subunit ribosomal RNA
Source: RNAcentral